Molecule: long non-coding RNA, 29603 nt
Filed under: Citrus sinensis (sweet orange)
Lineage: Eukaryota; Viridiplantae; Streptophyta; Magnoliopsida; Sapindales; Rutaceae
Description: long non-coding RNA (CSIN_LNC000081)
Source: RNAcentral
GGGCUGUUGAGGCAUUGAAAGAUCAAGUGGGAAUCUGCAGGUGGAAUUUUAUUAUAAGGUCCGUGCAUCAACAUGCAAAGAACAAUUUGAGGUCAUCGCUCAAUCAAGCCAACAAGGCCAUCUCUUCAUCUCCAGCUUCCAGGGAGAUUUUUAAUAGUAAUAAUUUUUAUAACAAGGCGAAGAAGCCCGAGGAAAAGGUCAAAAGGGUCAUGGAUUUGAGCUGCUGGGGUCCUAGUACUGUUAGGUUUUGAUGACUUUGAUCUUGAUAAUCACCAUCAUCGUCUCAUGAAUGUACAUGAUCCGAUGUCUUCUUAUUUAGAGAUAAUUAUUUAUCUAGUUAUGUCUUUAUUUUUUUUUUCAAUUUUUAAAUGUAAUAUCAAAUUCUACCUCUUUAUCUUUGAUAUAUAUGAUAUGAGUGGAAUUUGAUGAAUUCAUUCAUAAUCCUUCUAAUCAUUUGAAGAGAUUUUGUAUCAGGUGGUUGGAUACUUAAGGAGUAUUCACCAAAUUAAUUAAUCAGUAGCGAUUUAUACUUAGUUUUUGAUUCACCAAUGCUAAGAGACAAAACUAAAAAUUUAUUAUAAAUUAAUUAAUUGUCAAUUUAUCAUCAUCGUUAUUAUCAUUGUUGACUUUCCUUGAAUUUUCCGUCUGGGUAUAAACUAUAGUGUCACAGCAAAUUGACAAUAACAAACAAUUUUUUUUUUUUUUUGAAAUUACAGCAAAAAGAUAAAUAAUUUAGAUUCAAAUACUUUGGAUUGUUUCCUGUUGGCUUGAAUAACCAAGAACUGCUUGUUGUCUUUUCUACUAGCCAAUUCUAUAAAAGAAAGGGGUCUUAGCAGAAUCAGGAGAACAGAAAAAUUCUCUUGAUUUUGAGCAGCUGCCAAAAUCACUAUUUAAAUUGUAAGAAACAAUUAAAAUGAGUACGUCGGCAGGAAAAGCUUGGAUUGUGGCAUUGAGUGUUGGUGCCCUGGAAGCUUUUAGAGAUCAGGCAGGAAUUUGCAGAUGGAAUAACAGUUUAAGUUCUUUUGCUCAGGUCAAUUUAAUUUAUGCUCCAGCUUCUGAUUUCAGGGAUAUGAUCAAUUUUUCAAGCGUUUUCAGAAACAAGAACUCCAUGGAAAAAAUCAUGCUUUUGGGCUGUUGGGGUCCUAAUACUGUUAGAUUUUAGUUCUCAAAAUUGGAAUUUUUUUCUUUUUCUUUGGGCCAACAUAAAGAUUGUAGUCAUGGACUUCUGGGUGCCAGCAUUUUAUAAUAAACAUAUGCUUAGCCAAAUUUCAUAAUUCUAUUGUCUUUUUCUUAGUUAAUUUUGCAAUGUUUGUACUGGAGAGAAGAUUUUGUUAGAAAUUAAACAUUUGAGAAAGUUCGAUUAAUUAAAAUGAUUUUAGAAGAAUUAAUUAAUGCAACCAUUUCUUUUUUUUUUUCCGUUGGAACUUUGUUAUAUCAAUACGCUAUAAGCAUAUAUCGUUAUACUUUUUUGUCAAGGCCAUCUCUAUGUUACCCUACAGUCUAUGUACUAUCAAACGAUUUGAUUUUUUUAAUUUUUCCGACUUGUUAAUACUGUCGAAACUAUACCACUGAAAACCAUUGUUGAACUCUGUUAUUAUUAAAUUUUAAGAACCUAAUUCACCAAAUUCUCAAAUUCCUUAAAUAUUACGAUUACAAUAAUUAAUAUAACUUCUUCCGGCUUCAAAAAGUGGUACUUGGCAAUUUUCAAUCAUUAAGCCACGAUAUGAAAUUGGUUAAUAAACGUAGAAGAAAAAGUAUUAUGUCAAAGCAACGAUUUUAGGUUCGAUUGUGUAUGCGCUCAAGAACGAUAUGGUAAUCGAUUUUAUUCUAUACACAGAUGGAGAGCAGUGAAUAUUAAGGAUGGCAAAAUUCAGAUAGGAUCUGAAUAUAGGUGUAUCUAGAUUUAGAUCACACAUUGAUAUUUUGAGAUUUGGAUCCGCAUCUGGAUCGGCAAAAAGAAUAUGUGGAUCGGAUGGAGUUACAAUCUCGCGGAUUGCGAGCAAAUUUUGUCAUACUUAAUUCAAUAAUUUACCUAAUAAAAUCAAAUAAAAUCUAAUUGACACUUAGAAUGACAUUCAAUAACACUAUAAAUCUACAAAUAAAAUUACCACAACAUAAAUUAAACAUUAAGAGUAAUAUAAAUCUAAGUCUAACUCAACCAUAAAUCCAAAAAUAAAAACACCAUAAGUCCACAUAAAUUUCUUUUAAAACCAUCACAAAUAAGAACAUCACCACAAAUCUACAUAGAUUUGAUUUUUUUUUUAUUUAACUUACACAUCUUUUAAUUUUAUUUUAUUUUAAUAAAUCAUUUAAUGAAAAAAUAAUGUAGAUCCAAAUAUCUGAUUUUUCAAAUGCACUUACAUUCGAAUCUACAAGAAUUUUAAUUUUUGGCAUCCAAAACCACAUUUUUUAAUGCCCAAAUCUGAAUUUUUUGGAUCUUUCAAAUAUUUAUAGAUCCAGACCGAAUUUGGAUUUUUUUUUUGUCAUCCCCAAUCAAUAUGGUAGUUUCAACAAUUUUCAACCUUUACACAUCUUCCUAACUGCUUGGCUUUUAGUAAAGAUGGCAAUGGUUCGGGAUUUGACAAUCUCGGUCCCAUCCCGAAUAGUAAAACGAGAUUUUAAUGCGGACCGAAUCCCGUCCCGAAUAGUUAAACGAGAGAAAAAUAAUGAACUAAUCCUAGACAGCUCAAAAUCCCGUCCUGGACCAAAUGGCCCAACGUCCCAAAUGUCCCAUUUAAUAAAUACUAUAAAUUUCAUUAAAAUAUUAAAAAAAUAUUUAAUCCAGUGAUUCUAUAAAAUUGUUAACAUCUCAAUAGACAUUAUAAUCAUGGGAUGUGCAAUUAAACCAAAAAUAACAUCCAAAAGUAAAUUAACUAAUUGUAAAGCAUCCAAAAAUAAACCAACAUAUAAUAACCAACAAAAGCAUCCAACUUCUAAAAAAAAAAAAAAAAACAAAAACAAAAGCAUCCAAGAUUUUUGUCUACAUUCUUCAACUCCAAGUUCAUACUUUUGGAUCAACCUAUAAAAAUUAGAAUAUGUAAAGAAUAAAUUAGAAAAACAAAUAAUAUUAUACAUUGAUAAUUACAUGAUAUGCAUUUAAUAACGUUUAAAAACAUUAUUAGUUACGGAAAUGCUAGAUGAGGUGGUUGAAGUUAAGCAAAAAAUGGGGAUGAGCAACAUGCAGUUGUGUUUUAGUUUUAGAUUAAAAUACUUUUAGGUUUCCAUUUUAAUAUUUUUGUUUUAGAUUUAUUUAAUUAAACUAAAAAUAAUACAACAAACGGGCUUGUGAUUGGUACUUGGGCUUAGGAUAUAUUGUUUUAAUGCUAUUUGAAUCACGAUUUCUUAACUAUUAGUUUAAUUUUACUUAUUUUUAAUUUUAUUAAUAUAAUAUUUCUUUCAAAAAUUAAAUGGGACAAACGGGAUCCCGCGGGAUCCCGACUUAGAUCCCAAUCCUUUUCCACAAAGAAAAUUGAGAUUUUUUUUUUCAAUAUUAAAUCCCGCCCGCUUUUAAAAUUUGAUUCUAAAAUAUGGAUCAAUACAGUCCCAAUAGUUCGGGAUCCCAAAUUCCGAAUGUGAUUUGCGAUUUUUUGUCAUCCCUUGGAGUAGGUAUCUAGUUCAUUGCUUUAGGUAUUAGCAAUAGCACUAUGCUGUUCUUGUGCAUAAAUUACGGAUUGGUUGUAUUUAACAGUAAUUUAACGUUAAAUUGUGCAGACUGAGUGAUAUUUGGACAGCAACGUUAACAGUAAGUUAACGUUAAUUUCAAUAUUUGGAUCCUCUGCGAUUCUUUUCUAUUAUUUUGAGUGAUAUUUGGACAAUACUGAUUGCAGAAUCAUAAAUUUCGAAUUACAAUAAAGGAGGUAAAAUUGCGAUAAUACAAUAUUUAUUUCAUAAUUUAAUCUGCCCUCUCUUUCACUCUGGAAAGUUCCAGCUUCAGUUACAUCUCAUAUUCCGAAAGCCGACAGCGGAUCAAAAACGUCAAUAGAAAAGUUAUCCGUGUUAGUAUAUAACCAUGUGCAUAUUAAAAGUACUUGCCCACAAAGUCAGCAAAACCGUAUAGUCAUCACUCCACUCAGCAGCCAUUUGUCAUUCGUCAUUUGUCACCACCCAUUGAAUUAUUUUUUGAAACCAAAAAAAAAAAAAAAACCAGCAUCUCUCUGUCCAUAGGCCUGGGAUCCAAACCCACGAAUGGUUUCACUUUCCCGAAAAACAAACAGAACCCCGGUUUUUUUUUUUUUUUUAAGUAAUUCGACCUUUUUAACAGCUCUCUAUUAUUUUCCUAUAUAAGUACCCAAAUCCAACGAACAAACUGUCACUUAAAAGUCCAAGAACUCAACAACCUCUCUACUCUCUAUAAGUUGCCCAUCAAAUUUUCUUCCGGAACCCAACUUAAUAUUUUAUCGUUUAUAAUCAUUAAAAGAAGUAUUUGGGGGUGAGGAGAGUAUAGUAAGAGACAUGAGCAGCAACGGUGGCAGAGUUUGCAAGUUUGAUUCAGCAUUCAUCAAGUAUGUGCUGCAAGAAUCUUGUGGCUAUAAUAAGGGCAACAAUAAUUCUAUUGCAAGGAGUCUUGCUGGUGGCGUUAGUAAUAAUAAUAACAGUCAGGGUAUCAAGAGGUUUAAUGGAGAUGAGAUCAAGAAAAAAAGGAGGCAACAAGAGAAGGCUGAGAUGCUCUUCCACCUAAUUUGCUGGGGACCCAAUUAAUUUAUUAUUUGUAUUUCUUCUUUUUCUUCAUUAUUUAAAAAAAAAAAUCAUAUGGGAGAGAAAGAGAUGUAUUGGUUUAUCUUUAUUGUAGGAAUCUUGGUGCUUAUGGAAAUAAAUCAUAUGCUUUCAAUUUAUUGGAUUUUCAAUUUCAAAUGAUUUUUAUUUAAACAUAAAAAUUAGCUCGGAUAUUUAGGCAUUAAAAAAAAAGGUCAUUCACAUCCAAACAUCCUUCCAGAAUUUUCUAUUAGAAACAAUCUAGAAUUUCAACUCAAUUUAGGUAUACUAAAAAUUUGAUGUAAAAUAUAUAAUUUGAUGGAUAUUUUAGUAAUUUCAAUAAAUUUAUCAUAGAAGAUUAAAAAAAGAAAAUAAAUUAAAGCUUAGCAACGAGUAGAGUAAAAAGUCUUCGUUUUGUGAAUGAUAUUGUAAACGGUGGAUUUACUGCUUGUAAAAGUAUAGUUGUGGAUUAAAUGUUUAGAUUUCAGGAACCCGAAGGCAUGAUAAGAAAAUAGAAGAGUAAACGAAAAGAAUAAUGACAUUGUAAAAUUUCAUGUAUUAAAAUUAUCUAAAUUAAUUAAACAAUCAUCUUCCGAAUUGGGAGAUGGACCUGCCACAGUCAUUGUCCAGACAAAAGAAACUCGGUGUUGACAAAAAAAAUUUAGUAAAUCGAAUUUCAGGCAAAAUAUCAAUAUCAUUUUUCUAUUUAUAAUAAUGUAUAAUUAGAUAUAAUUACAUAUUAUUUCUUAUUCAAUAAUUACCUAAUAUAGGUCCUCUUUGUGAUUGAAAUGCGAUAAUUUUUAAAUUACAACUAUUUUGAAAAAAAAACUAUAAUUAUAAAAUAAAAAUUAAUAGUAUAUAAUAAAUAUAACUUUUAAAUAAUUUUUAAAAAGAUAAUAGAUUUUUUAUUAUAAAAGUAAAAAAUUAUAUUAAUAUAUCUUUCAAACUACUAGCGGCCAACUUUUAUUAAUCCCAAACAGAAUCAUAAUAUUAUUAAAAAAAUAAUUUUUUAGGAGUAACGAGACAUCUGUGUCUAGAUAUUGAUACAAAGUAUUUGAUCAACACAUUUGUAAGAGAAGACCUAGUAAUGCAAAUUUGUUGGCACUAUAAGAUUAAAAUAUGGAGUAAUGGUUUUUUUGCAAUGCUCAGUUCUAUUUUCUAGGAAGAUAUUUUUAUUGGCUGCACGUUGAUAGAAACUAGGAUGGUUAAUAGCUUGUAAUUGGAGGCAAAUCACGAACAAAAUUAAUUCCAAUAAACCAAGCAUUAAAGUAGUCAACGAAACCAAACAUAAAACAAAUGUCAUUCCAAAUUAAUCUAUUUAAAACAGGGACAAUGAUAUACCGAAAGUCUAAAGUAAUUGAAAUGAAAACUGAAUACCAAACCCAACGACUAAGACCAUUGUUCAAGCCACAUAAGUGGAUUAAAUGGAUGGAAGGGAUCUGUCUCAAAGAAUGGCUCAAUGCUUCCAUUCUCCAUGUUAUAAAUUCCAGUAUCUUUACCUCCUGCUUCAACGUAUUCCUCGGCGGCCAGGUACCAAUAAGAGUCGACAAAAUCAUCAGUGAAAUAAAUGCAAUUGGGUUUACACUCAGAAUUACUUGAUGCGUCAACAGACAGUGAAGAAUUAAAACCCAAAAAGAGGGAUCUGUUACCCAAAUUCUGGAUCUUCGACCAUUUAUUAGUACUUAGAUCGACCUCAAAAACCUGAAACCCCAACGUUCUGAAAGUGUUCUCCUCCGUUAGGUAGCCUAGAUGAGUAGGUGGUACUUGUACUCCCCUCCUUGAAACCACAAAUAAUGUGCCAUCUUCAGACUCAACCAUAUACAAAUACUCCACAACAUCUUCAAUAAAUUCGGCAGGUAAUUCCGCGAUUCUUGUAGCAGUACUGUCAUCAUCUUUGACGGCAAAUAUUUGACCAAAAGCAUUGAUAGCAUAAAAUUGAUUUUGGAAGUAAAUAGCAUCAACAAAAUGUUUAGCAUUAUUAGACGUGUUAAUUUUUCUCCAAACUUGACCGCCUGGCCUAGCGCAGCCCAAAUUCCCGUCUCUUCCGUAAAGAAGCAUGGCUUGUAAUGAAUCGGGGUUGGACGAAGAUAAUACGCAUUUGGUUAAUAUGAAAGUAAUAAAGCAACCCUCUUCACAAUGCCGAUUAUGCUCAUACGGAUCAGAAGCUACCAAGGUUUCGAUGGAAGGCAGUUUAAGUUGAAGGCGUGAAAAAGGAUGCACAAGAGUCAUAUAAUUGGGACUGAUGCAUGAAUCGAUAAAUUUAAUAAGCCAACCCCGUGAAGAAAAGUACCUACCGUUUUCAUACUUUUCAGGGUAAGGAUCUUCAGGUCAAUUUACUCGGAGGAGGCUGCUACUGCUGCCCUUCGAAAGAUCCAAGAAACUAAUGGAACCGUUUUUGGGUGGCAGCAUAAGCAGAGGAUUGCACUCGAUAUGUUUAUCUGAAACUGCAGCCGAUGCCGAUGCAGAUUUCCAGCGCCGCUUGGAGUUGGAGAAACGAAUUGAAUAUUUUUUCGGAGGAAGCGUACGCCAAGGAACUGUGGCCGAUCUGUCUAAAGUGCGAACCCCGGCAAAAGAAACAAAAUCCUGAAGCAAUUUUGCGGACGAGUAGGCCAUUGUUUUAGUAGGCUGUUCUUCUCUUCACGAUGGCAAAUUAGAGCAAAUCUCUGUGGCAUUUAUAUUUGAUUUAGUCUCACCCUCUCAUAAUUGGAGAAGGAAAGCGGUUUUCCUUUUGCAGUCGGACUAUGAAUCUCACGUAUUUCUAGAAACAUUCAACGGCCAAGAUCUCAGUCUUUGGAAUGGACGACUCUUUCGAUUGCCUUGAAAGACUUGCUUGGCUAUUUUUUAAGUCCUUUCAGUUUUCACGUGACUUGCCAGAAAGUGCAAAACUAUUUUUCAUUUUAUUUAUUUUUUUCUUUUCUAAACAAGCUUUUAAUUAUUUAUUUAAUUUUUAUUUCAAGGAAAAAAAAAACACUAAUCACUUACUAAAUUUGCCAUGCUAAGACCCCGAUUGUGGCCAAAAUUUAAUAAAAUGUUUAUUUCAUAAUUUUUGAUAAAAAUUAUAAAAUUUAUUUAUUUUAUAAUUUUUUUUAUUUUAAUAACAAUUUUUAAAAAUAAGUAGAGGAUUGUUUUUCAUAAACAACUUAUUCAAUAAGUCACUAUUCUUUUGAAAAUUUUCUGUUAUAACCUUAAUAUUUUAACAAAAAGAUAACUAUGUCCUAUUUUUUCAUAUACCUAAUGUAUAAGUCAUUAGAUAUCAUAUUACAAGCAUAAUCAAAUUACCCUUACAAUUUUAAAGUUUUGAUCCGGUAAAUUUAUAUUUUUCAUAUUUUACUUUUAUCUUCUAUUAUAAAAUUUAAUAAGACUUACAUAUGAUUACGUAAAUUUUCUUUAAACUAUGAACAAUUUUGCAUGGAAUUUAACCACAACUUUUAAAAUCAAUUUCAUAACUAUUGAUUUUUAACAUUCAAUCAUAUAUAUUUUUUCUACAUACAAAGUGUUUAUUGCAAUAAGUUAAAUAUGAAUGUAAUACAUAUUACUUUUUUAUUUUAUUUGGAUUAUGUCUUGAUAUGAAUUUUUAUCAUAUUUUAUGUAACAUAUUAUGAAGUUCCUUAAAUUUUAUAUAAUUGAUUUUUUUUUCACUUUAUGUAACUUUAUGUAUUUUAAAAAGAAAAAGAAAUGUCUAAAAAUUAUUAAAUAUACUCUAAAAAAUAAAAAUAAUUUAAAAUUACGUUUAUUUUGGUCAUUACCUAAUAAAAUAAUAUUUUAAAAAUUUGCUACCCGUACAUUACUCAAUAACAAUAUAAUUUACCAAACACUAAAUUAUUUUUUUAUUCAACAACUUAUUUUAUCUGCACAACAAAUGCAACUUAUUUGGUUAGCCGCUGCAAUCCCGAACCGGCACUAACUUGGGCUAAAAUGCAAAACGAAAGCUAUGAUCCGUUGAGACCCACGACUUACUUAGAAAGCAAUGUCCUCUUUCAUCGUUAGGAAUCUAACGUGGAGAAAGGAAGUGACUUCCUAAUCAAACUUGAGAUGUUCCAUUUAUUGCAUUCAGACUCGCAGUUGCCUACAGAUACCUGAUGUUUCAUGUGACUUCUCUUAAAAAUUAAGAUAGUUUAUUUAUUUGUCUAAAAGUUACGAUAAUUUUUUUUUCCUCGAAUUCAUGCUCGAACAAAGAAAUCAAAAGAUGAUCAAUGAAAAACAACAUAUACAACAAGUAAGUUAAGUAUAUUUUGAGGAUUUACGUACGUAUAAGGAUUUACAAAAACAUAAUAAAAAUAUUUUGUUAUAGAGAUUUAUAGUAAAUAUUAUGGUUCCAUCUAAUACCUAAUUAUUUAUUUAAAAUCUUUAUAAUAAAUACAAAAUAUUAUUAAAAUAAAUGUAAUAAUUUACACAUUUAAAUUGUUUUAGAUAUUAAAAACAUAUUAAUAUUAUUAGUUUACUAGAAAGAUUAUAUUAUUUAUAUUGAGUUUAUAUUUAUUAAGAAAAUUUAAAGUCUAUUUUUUAAUUACUCUAUCAAAAGAGUAUUAUAGUUAAAAGGAAGUCUUAACAUCAUUUUAAAAAAAAUUAGGGUUCUCUACGACCAUUUUUUCAAAUUUUGAGGGUAUAACUGUUCUUUUCUCGCAUUCAAUUUCUAUAAUAGAACUCCUAGUGACUAUUACUAGAGUAAUAGUAAUGGCUUUAACUUUUUGAACAAUUUGCGUGGAGAGCAAGAUAAGCUAACAUAUAAUAGAAGAAAAGCCUAAAGAUGGAUAUAGGGCUCAAGAUUCCGCUUUUGACACUUAUAGCAUAUUCUAAGUCUUUGUUUGGUAUUGAGGUGCUGUAAGUUAAAAAUUACAGUUACGGUAAAAAAAAUUAACUAUGAAAUAAAAGUUAUUAGUGUAUUGUGAAUAUCAUUUUUAAAUAAAUAUUUUGAUAAAAAUUGUAAGAAAUAUGAUAGAUUUUUUUUUUAUCAUACAACUGCUAAAUAAAAGAAUUUAACUUCUAAACCACAAUUAUAGGUAUUUACUAAAUGCUUUAAUUCUGUAAUUUUUAAGAUAUAGUUGUCCCACCACACUAUUGAAUAAUGCCUAAUUCAUUUGUUAAAAAUUGUAGCAACGUUGAAGGGAGUUGUUUUGAUGUUUGUGGUGGCAGUGUUUUGUGUCAUUGCUUUUGAGUGUUUCAGCAGAAGAAACGGCACCGUUGCCAGCGCCGUCCAUGGGUAAACAAAUAUACUAUUCAAUGGGAUUUCUUGGACUAUCAUUUCACUUCUUUUUUUUCUCUUGUCAGCUAUUGCUUUCUUGAAGCAUCAAAUUGUCCAUUGUUAUACAAAUUUUAUGGUACUGUUAAAUUUAGAAAAAAUACUUUAAGGUGGUGUUUAGUUGGGAGGAGAGUAUGGAGGAGAGGAAAAUAAUUUAAAUUCUCUUUUUAUUUUCAUUGUUUGGUUUGACAAAAUUUAUAAGAAUUUAAUUUCCAUUAGAAUUUAAUAUCCAUCGUAAUAUAGAAUUUGAAUUCCUCACCUAGUAAUGAAGAAUUUAAAUUUCUCUUAUGUUAGAAAUUAAAGUUUUUAAAAUUACUCUUCAACUUUUUAACUUGUUUAAUGCUAUUAAUAAUUAUUAUUUAUAAUUUUAUUUUAUGGAUUUAAUAUUAUAAAUGGACCUUCGCCGGAAAGUCACCGGAUGUAGCCGGACUUUCGCCAAAAAGUCAUUGGACCUCCAUUGGACAUCGCUGGACCUUCACCGCUGGCAACUGGACUGCCAUUUUAUUAUAUAUAUAUAUUAUUAAUAUAAAUAGUUUAAUUUUUAAAGUAAAUGAUAAAUUUGUUUAAAAAAAAUUAUAAUUAAUUUCCUUAUCAAAUUUUAUAUCAAACCAAACAAUAAAAUCUAAUUUCACUACUUUUCUCCAUUCUGUUCUUCUCUCUUUCGCUCCAUUCAACUCUUUUUUUCUCCUCCUGUUUCUUCAAACCAAACUUAGCCUAAAUUCCUCUACUGAAUUGUCCUUAGCCCAUAGAAAUUUUCUUUUUUUCUCCCCCCUCAAGAGAUAGCCCAUAGCAAAGUCGUUCCCGUAAUUGUAUAGAAAAGAACAACAUGGGCCUCAACUCACUCCAGCCGAAUAGACAAACUUAAGAACAAAUGCAAGGAAGCCCGAAACUGUUCAAUUAACCACCUUAGAGAAGAAACUUAUGAGACAAGCUAUAGGUGCCUUGUUGAUGAAGUAAAAUGCCAGGAGCUGGGAAUUUGAACACAAACUGAUCUCUGCAGACGUUGUACAUACAGUACAAAGUACAGUCAAGGCUGAUUUAACGGUUACAUCUGGGGCUACACAAUCAUACCAUUAGAGAUCUAAUCUCAAUUAGUUGGAGAGCACAACAAUAAUGGUGAAAAUUCAUACUCUGUAAAGAAUUCAUCAAUAAAAUGAACAUCUCCAUACAUAGAUCUAUUAUUAUCUCUACUAAAAUAACUUUAACUAAUUGAGUUAAGAAAUAAAUCCAAGUCUACUCAGCCAUGGCUCUGGCUACUGAUAAUUUACUUUAUAAAAUCAUAUGCAUUAAGGAAAUCAAAAGCCCUUUUCUAGUUACUUUCAGAUAAUUCACUUUAUCAAUUCAUAUGCAUUUGAGGAAAUGAAAGCCCUUUUAUUUUUAGGCGACCAUUAAAAGUUCAGCUAAAAAAGAUGAGCUUUGUAUGUGAUCUUAUGUAUGUAUGUUGAAUGAAUCAUGACGUUAUGUCAUUGUAAUGAUGUUAUACUUCUUUAAUGAAAAACAUGCUCUCUUUUGAAAAAAUACUAUUAAAUAUUUAUGAAUCUAAUUUAUCUUUUCGCAUACCUCUUAAAAACAACUAUCCUUAAACAAAAUCAAAUCCACAUUUCUCUACUUUAACCUCUCCUUUAUGCUUUCACAAAUGACGUAACACACAAUAUGACAUAUCUUCAUGGUGGCAUGAAAUCUUUUUUAUUUUUACUUUUUAUUUUUAUUAUGUUGGUUCUUUUUCUUUUUGGUGGUACUGCGAAUGCAAAAACUAAGAGAUCAUCAGCAAUAACUAAGAGACCAUCAACUACAACAAAUCAUUUCACCAAAAAAAAAAAAAAAGAUCUCAAAUCCAAAGGUCUGAAACGUAUUAUUUGAUUGACAAAAUUUGAAUUAGACUUUUUAAAUUUAAAACUAGCUAUUGAUGUAAUUAUUUUUAUUACUAUUCUUUUAUUCAUAGGUGAUAUAUAUAUUGUGAAUUGUGAUAAUUGAAAUAUAAAGGUGAAUGAAAGAGCAUCUAUGUACUUUUAAUUAUUUUUUUAUUUUUUAAAAAAUAAUUCACUAUUAAAAAAAAAACAAAGAUUAUUAGGGUAUAAUGUUGUAAAGUAAAAUGUGGGUACUAACUGAAUAACUACAUUCUUCUAUUUUGACUGAUUUUCGGACUAUAUUAAAAAUAGAAUCAUAAAUUUUUCCAUCAUAUAAUUAAAACAAUGAGGGAAAUUGCAACAAUAUUUCGUAAUUUAAUAUUGGUGGCAAAUUGGUAAUUGAAGUUGGUGGCGUUAAUAACAAUAAAAAUAAUGAGGCUAUCAAGAGGGUUAAUGGAGAUGAGAUCAAUAAUAUUAAAACAAAUGAGGGAUAUUUGCUAGGCUCCCAAUUAAUUAGUUAUUUUUCAUUUCAUUUUUUCAUUAUUAAAAAAAGAUUUGUUCUUUAAUGUAUGUAAUUACAAUCAAUUAAAAAUUGUAAGUAGAACUUUUAUAUUUGAAAAGUAUUUAAUUAUCAGGCUUAAAUAAAUUAAACAAUUAAAAUUUAUUCAUCAUUUUAAAAUUUAAAAAUAUUAUUAGUCAAAAUUUUAAAUAAUAAACUAAAUUCAACCCAACAAAAAAGUAUUUAGGUGCCGUUAUUUGUUUGCCAGAGGCACUUUGACUCUCUUUGAAAAACUAGAUGUUGAUGAUUCUUCUAUUAAAAAAACUAUUCAAAAUACUCAAAUUUUAUUUUCUAACUUGUCCUCUUAGUUAACGUAUCUAAUAAUAAAAUAUCAAAAUUUACAUAAAAAAUUUAUGAAAAUGUUGAUAAUUGUUACUAUAUGUUUUUUUCAAGUUAUUUUGAUACUAGUAACGAUGCUAUAUUAUAUUAACAUACUUUCUUUUCAAUUAGAAUUUUUUAAAAAUAGAUUAAAGCAGUAAUAACCUUUUAGACCCCUAGCGUUUUCAAUCCAUUCAAUAAAUAUAUAAUUUAAUCAUUUUAUAAAAUGAGUCACCAAUUUCAAUUGGAAAAAUAAUAUAAUUGAGUUAGGGACAUAUUUGAAAAUAAAAUAAAAGUUCUAUUGUUAUAUGAAAUUGAUAAAACAGAAGGGUAACUAAGUUAGGGAUAUUUUCUCAAAAAAAAAAAGUUAGGGACAUAUAUGAAAAUAAAAUAGAAAUUCUAUUUCUUUCCAUAAAUAAAAUUAAUCAAAAUUAUAUUAUUUAAAUAAUUUUUUCUGGACUAGCGUCCAGGUGUAGGUCCGCCACUGAGCUGCACUAUGCUGUUCUCGUGCAUAAACUACGGAUUGUAUUUAAUAGUAAGUUAACGUAAAUUGUGGAGAUUGAAUACUUUCAAUAUUUGAAUCCUCUGCGAUUCUUCUCCAUUAUUUUGAGUGAUAUUUGGACAAUACUGAUUGCAGAAUCUGCUGUACCGUACAUCCGCCUUGGCCGUACAGCAGUAUUAUUUUCCUAUAUAAGUACCCAAAUCCAACGAACAAACUGUCACUUAAAAGUCCAAGAACUCAACAACCUCUCUACUCUCUAUAAGUUGCCCAUCAAAUUUUCUUCCGGAACCCAACUUAAUAUUUUAUCGUUUAUAAUCAUUAAAAGAAGUAUUUGGGGGUGAGGAGAGUAUAGUAAGAGACAUGAGCAGCAACGGUGGCAGAGUUUGCAAGUUUGAUUCAGCAUUCAUCAAGUAUGUGCUGCAAGAAUCUUGUGGCUAUAAUAAGGGCAACAAUAAUUCUAUUGCAAGGAGUCUUGCUGGUGGCGUUAGUUAUUUCUCUAUAUAAGUACUCCAAUCCAACGAACAAAGUGUCACUUAAAAGUCCAAGAACUCAACAACCUCUCUACUCUAUAAGUUGCCGAUCAAUUUUCCUUCCAGCACCCAACUGAAUAUUUUAUCGUUUAUAAUCAUUAAAACAAGUAUUUGGGGUGAGGACAGUGUAGUAAGAGACAUGAGCAGCUACGGUGGCAGAGUUUGCAAGUUUGAUUCAGCAUUCACCAAGUAUGUGCUGCAAGAAUCUUGUGGCUAUAAUAAGGGCAACAAUAAUUCUAUUGUAACGAGUCUUGCUGGUGGCGUUAAUAAUAUUAAUAACAACAAUCAGGGUAUCAAGAGGGUUAAUGGAGACCAGAUCAAGAAAAAGAGGAGGCAACAAGAGAAGGCUGAGAUGCUCUUCCACCUAAUUUGCUGGGGACCCAAUUAAUUUAUUAUUUGUAUUUCUUCUUUUUCUUCAUUAUUUUUAAAAACAAAUCAUAUGGGAGAGAAAGAGAUGUAUUGGUUUAUCUUUAUUGUAGGAAUCUUGGUGCUUAUGGAAAUAAAUCAUAUGCUUUCAAUUUAUUGGCUUUCAAUUUCAAAUAAUUUUUAUUUGAACAUAAAAAUUAGCUCAGAUAUUUAGGCAUAAACAUCCUUCCAGAAUUUUCUAUCAGAAAUAAUUUAGAAUUUCAACUCAAUUUAGAUAUAUUAAAAUGUUGAUGUAUAAUACAUAAUUUGAUGGGUAUUUUAGUAAUUUGAAUAAAUUUAUCAUAGAAGAUUAAGAAAAUAAAAUAAAAUCAAACAGUGGAUUUACUAUGCGUAAAAGUAUAAGACACAUGUACUAUUCAUAUAAGGGGAGUGUAUCUUACAUGCAUGUAAGAUAGAGAUUGCCAAAAUAUAAUUGUGGGUUAUAUGUUUAGAUUUCUACAACCCCGAAGGCAUGAUAAGAAAAUAAAAUAGUAAACGAUAAGAACAAUGAAAUUGUAAAAUUUCAUGUAUUAAAAUUAUCUAAAUUAAUUAAACAAUCAUCCUCCGAAUUGGGAGAUGGUCAUGGCACAGUCAUUGUCCAGACAAAAGAAACUCGGUAAAGCGAAUUUCAGGCAAAAUAUCAAUAUUAUUUUUCUAUUUAUAAUAAUUUAUAAUUAGAUAUAACUACAUAUUAUUUCUUAUUUAAUAAUUACCCAAUAAAAGUCUUCUUUAGAAUUGAGAUGCGAUAACCUUUAAGUUACAAUUACUGUGGGAAAAAUAUCUAUAAUUAUAAAAUAAUAAUUUUGAUAAAAUUAUUAAAGGUAUAAUAAAUUUUUCAUUAUAGAAGUGAAAAGUUAUAUUAAUAUACCUUUCAAACUAUUAGCACCCAACUUUUACUAAUCCCAAAUAGAACCAUAAUAUUGUUAAAAAAUAAUUUUUUAGGAGUAAUGAGACAUCUAUGUCUCUUAACAUCAUUUAAAAAAAAAAAUUAGGGUUUUCUAAGACCAUUUUUCAAAUUUUAAGGGUAUAACUGUUCUUUUCUCACAUUCAAAUUCUAUAAUCGAACUCCUAGUGACCAUUACGAGAGUAAUAGUAAUGGCUUUAACUUUUUGAACAAUUUGCGUGGAGAGCAAGAUAAGCUAACAUAUAAUAGAAGAAAAGCCUAAAGAUGGAUAUAGGGCUAAAUAUUCCGCUUUUGACACUAAAAGCGUAUUCUAAGUCUUUAUUUGGUAUUGAGGUGCUGUAAGUUAAAAAUUACAGUUACGGUAAAAAAAGCUGUAACUAUGAAAUAAAAGUUAUUAGUGUAUUGUGAAUAUCAUUUUUAAAUAAAUAUUUUGAUAAAAAUUGUAAGAAAUAUGAUAGAUAUUUUUUUUUUAUCAUACAAGUGCUAAAUAAAAGAAUUGAACUUCUAAACCACAGUUAUAGGUAUUUACUAAAUGCUUUAAUUAUGUAAUUUUUAAGAUAUAGUUGUCCAACCACACUAUUGAACAAUGCCUAAUUUUUACUAAAUGCCUAAUUUUUAUAUCAAACCAAACAACAAAAUCUAAUUUCACUACUUUUUUCCAUUCCGUUUUUCUCCUCUAUUUUUUUCAAACCAAACAUAGCCUAAAUUCCUCUACUGAAUUGUCCUUAGCCCAUAGAAAUUUUCUUUUUUUCUCCCCCCUCAAGAGAUAGCCCAUAGCAAAGUCGUUUGCAUAAUUGUAUAGAAAAGAACAACAUGGGCCUCAACUCACUCCAGCGGAAUAGACAAACUUAAGAACAAAUGCAAGGAAGCCCGAAACUGUUCAAUUAACCACCUUAGAGAAGAAACUUAUGAGACAAGCUAUAGGUGCCUUGUUGAUGAAGUAAAAUGCCAGGAGCUGGGAAUUUGAACACAAACUGAUCUCUGCAGACGUUGUACAUACAGUACAAAGUACAGUCAAGGCUGAUUUAACGGUUACAUCUGGGGCUACACAAUCAUACCAUUAGAGAUCUACUCUCAAUUAGUUGGAGAGCACAACAAUAAUGGUGAAAAUUCAUACUCUGUAAAGAAUUCAUCAAUAAAAUGAACAUCUCCAUACAUAGAUCUAUUAUUAUCUCUACUAAAAUAACUUUAACUAAUUGAGUUAAGAAAUAAAUCCAAGUCUACUCAGCCAUGGCUCUGGCUACUGAUAAUUUACUUUAUAAAAUCAUAUGCAUUAAGGAAAUCAAAAGCCCUUUUCUAGUUACUUUCAGAUAAUUCACUUUAUCAAUUCAUAUGCAUUGAGGAAAUCAAAGCCCUUUUAUUUUUAGGCGACCAUUAAAAGCUCAGCUAAAAAAGAUGAGCUUUGUAUGUGAUCUUAUGUAUGUAUGUUGAAUGAAUCAUGACGUUAUGUCAUUGUAAUGCUGUUAUACUUCUUUAAUGAAAAACAUGCUCUAUUUUAAAAAAAUACUAUUAAAUAUUUAUGAAUCUAAUUUAUCUUUUCGCAUACCUCUUAAAAACAACUAUCCUUAAACAAAAUCAAAUCCACAUUUCUCUACUUUAACCUCUCCUUUAUGCUUUCACAAAUGACGUAACACACAAUAUGACAUAUAUUCAUGGUGGCGUGAAAUCUUUUUAUUUUUACUUUUUAUUUUUAUUAUGUUGGUUCUUUUUCUUUUUGCUGGUACUGCGAAUGCAAAAACUAAGAGAUCAUCCGCAAUAACUAAGAGACCAUCAACUACAACAAAUCAUUUCACCAAAAAAAAAAAAAAAGAUCUCAAAUCCAAAGGUCUGAAACGUAUUAUUUGAUUGACAAAAUUUGAAAUAGACUUUUUAAAUUUAAAACUAGCUAUUGAUGUAAUUAUUUUUAUUACUAUUCUUUUAUGGCUGAAACUACAAUGCGUCGUGGGUUUGGUGCCACAGUCGUUUGUCAGUUAGCAAAGUGAGCGUUGGAUUUAAUCCCACGGCUGCAGAAGAGAGGCAGACAUAAAGGGCAGUUACCUCAGGAAAAGGUAAGAGCCGGUCAGCUGGAGAAAAGAUGGGUUUAAUAAGAAAUAGCAUCCAUGUGUAAUGAACAUGUAGUUUUUUAGGAAGGCUGUUGUAACCAAAGAUUAUAGUGGUUCGGCAAAUUUCUUUGCCUACAUCCACUGUGGAAAACAAAGCAAACUCUUUACUGAUUUCAGAGAACAAGUUACAAAUCUGGAGAAUACAUGUAAAUGAAUCGAUACCCUAAACAACAGAUCAUAUGCCCUUUUAUACUCCACUCGGAUCAAUCAGAAAGAACCUGAAGAAGCCAGUUCACGCUCAUGGGUUUCCAGCCAAACAGACCUCCAGCUGCUUCCCGCGUGAUCUAACGGAAAAAACCACUUCUGGAAUUUGCUUAGGGACACUUGUCAAACGUUCAUGUAAUCUGUUGAUUAAAACGCAGAGUUGGCUUGCCGUUUGAGUUAGUGAAACAUGUGACGCAUCACGUGCAUUACUAAUGAAUCCAGCCGACAUAUCGUUUGUAUCAACCAGCUGCUCUGAACUCAAAUGCUUGACAUGUCGUUUAUCCUCGCUGACAAACAGACGACGUGUCAUACACAUCCCUGAGAUCAGAUUUGAGCUUCAUAAUUCCAACACUCUCCACCUUGAACUCAAAUCAGUUACCCUUUUGCUUAUGCUUUCCACUGUAUCCCUGCAGUUUUAUAGCCUGUAGAUCCCAGCUGAGUUCAUGCAGAACUCCAGCUUGGCUGCUGGUACAGCCUUUGUCAACAUAUCAGCAAGGUUAUCAUCAGUAUGAAUCUUUAACAGCUUCACCACACCUUUAGACACCUCCAGCCUGACAAAGUGCAGUUUGAUGUCAAUAUGCUUUGUCUUUUCGUGAUGCACCUGGUUCUUGCUUAGACAAAUUGCACUUUGACUGUCACAAUGAACAGCCACCUGUCUUUGUUCAAAUCCUAAUUCCGUAACCAUUCCUUUGAGCCAUAUUGCCUUCUUAAAGGCUUCUGCAGUUGCAGUGUACUCUGAUUCUGUUGUUGACAAAGCAGCAACACUUUGCAGUGAAGCUUUCCAGUUUAUGGUGCAGCCACUGAGUGUGAACAAAUAGCCUGUUAGAGAUCUCCUUUUAUCUAGAUCCCCUGCAUAGUCAGCAUCCACAUACCCUUCAACAUCAACUUCUGUACCUCCUUUUAAACCAUAGAUGAGGCUAUAAUCUGCAGUCCCACUGAGAUAUCUUAAGAUCCAUUUUACAGCUCUCCAGUGCUCCUUUCCAGGAUUACCCAUAUACCUGGAAACUACACUUACUGCAUGAGAGAUAUCUGGCCUUGUUAGGACCAUGGCAUACAUUAAGCAUCCCACAGCACUUGAGUAUGGAGUUGUGCUCAUCUCAGCUUUUUCAUCUUCAGUUCUUGGACACUGAUUACAUGACAACCUGAAAUGAGCUGACAGUGGAGUUUGAACUGGUUUUGAGUUCACCAUUUCAAAUCUCUCAAGUACUUUCUUUAUAUAGCAGUGCUGUGAUAGCUUUAGUAUUCCCUUCUUACUAUCUCUUAGCAAUUCUACUCCAAGGAUCUUCUUGGCUGCUCCAAGAUCCUUAAUCUCAAAUGCAUUCUUUAACUGCUUCUUCAGCACAUCUAUAUGAUCCAUAUGUUUACAUGCUAUAAGCAUGUCAUCAACAUAUAGCAAUAGAUAGAUCUUAUCUCCAUCUAUCAAGUUUUUGUGGUACACACAGCAAUCAUAAGAGCACCUUUGAAAGCUGUUCUCAGCCAUAAAUUUAUCAAAUCUCAAGUACCAUUGUCUCGGGGAUUGCUUUAAUCCAUAUAGAGACUUUCUCAAAUGACACACAUAAUCAGCCUUAUCUGAAUCCUCAUAACCUCUUGGUUGUGCCAUUACAAUCAUUUCUUCCAAUUCACCAUGAAGGAAUGCAGUCUUGACAUCCAUAUGUUCCAGGUGCAUGUCAUUUACUGCAACAAGUGCUGCUGUACCGUACAUCCGCCUUGGCCGUACAGCAGUCUAAAGAGGGUGUUGAUUAAAUUAAAAAAAAAACCCUUAACAUAACAAAUCUUAAAUAUUUAGUGUUUAAAGAGCUUGAAGAAGCCAAAAAGCACUAAACAAAAGGUUGCAUAAUUAAAUAUGAGAUUAUGGUAUUAAAAUUAGGCUCUAGUAGCAUUGUUGAGGGAAGAUGAAAGAAUCUCUCUUCCUAUGUUAAUUCUGGUAUGCAUUCUUUUAUCUUAUAGAUCCACUUGCAGCCAACUAUUUUCUUCUUUGCUGGUUUUGGAAUCAGAUCCCAUGUGUGGUUCUUGAUCAAUGAUCUCAUUUCUUCAUCCAUAGCUGCAACCCACUUCUUUGAGUCCUUACUACUGACAGCCUCAGUGUAAGUCUUUGGUUCAUCUUCUUCUAUUCCUUGUGCUGCUGAUAGUGCAAAUGCAAUCAAGUCUGCAUAUGCAUACCUCUUAGGUGGCUUUGACUCUCUUUUCUUUCUAUCUCUCACCAGCUGAUAAUUUCUGAGGUUAUCAUCACCUUCUGAUUCACCUUCUUGUUCAGACAAAUCUAUUCCAGGUGCAUUCUCAGGCCCUGACUUUUUAUCAGCUUCUGUGCUGGAGCUUGGAAGCUCCACCUCAAGAAAAUUCUUCUUGUCACAACCUGACUCUCUCUCAAUGGUUUGAUUCUCAGUAGCUGAGUUUUGAAACAUUUCAUGUUCAUUAAACACCACAUCCCUGCUGAUUAUUGCCCUUGGUGGCUUCAUAUCUGUACACCACAGCUUGUAGCCCUUCACACCAGCAGGAUAUCCUAAGAACACACAUUUGAAGGCCCUGGGCUCUAGCUUCCCUUGUUUGACAUGAGCAUAGGCUGAGCAGCCAAAUAUUCUCAAAUGAGAAUAGUCUGCUGGUUUGCCAGACCAGAGCUCAUAUGGAGUUCUGAAAUUGAUUCCAGAAGAGGAACUCCUGUUUACUAUGUAGCAAGCAAUCUCUAAAGCUUCAGCCCACAGGCUCAUGGGUAGCUUAGAGUGGAUCAGCAUACACCUAACUUUGUCUAUUAGAGUUCUAUUCAUUCUUUCAGCUAAUCCAUUUUGCUAUGGUGUUUGUCUUACUGUUUUGUGUCUAACCAUACCAUGUUUUGUACAUAAAUCAUCAAAGUCCUUAUUACAGAACUCUAACCCAUUAUCUGUCCUCAGCCUUUUUACCUUCCUAUUUUUCUGUGUUUCAACUAAUGUUUUCCAGUUCUUAAACUGUUCAAACACUUUAUCUUUGCUCUUCAAACUAAAUACCCAAACCAUUCUUAAGAGAUCAUCAAUAAGAGAUAAGAAAUACCUAGCCCCACCUAGAGAAGCUGUCUGUGCAGGCCCCCACAGAUCAGCAUGAAUGUAGUCUAGAGUCCCCUUUGAAUUAUGGAUACCAGUACUGAAUUUCACUCUUGAAGAUUUUCCUAGGACACAAUCUUCACAGAACUUCAAAGGCUCUAUCUUAUCUACUCCUAAGACUCCCUGUUUUGAUAGCUCAAUUAAGCCCAUUUCACUCAUGUGGCCUAACCUCAUAUGCCACAGCAUGGUUUUGUUUAGUUUCUGGUUUGACACAGCAACAUCCCCUGUGACAGCUGAUCCCUGUAACACAUACAGACCAUUGCUCAUAUUCCCUUUCAUCACAACCAUUGACCAUUUCAAGACCUUUAAAGUGCCUGACUCAAGUUUGACUAGACAUCCUGUUUUAUCUAGCAUGCCUAGGGAGAUAAGAUUUCUUUUGAGAUCAGGCACAUGUCUGACAUCCCUUAGUUUGUUUAGUUUCUGGUUUGACACAGCAACAUCCCCUGUGACAGCUGAUCCCUGUAACACAUACAGACCAUUGCUCAUAUUCCCUUUCAUCACAACCAUUGACCAUUUCAAGACCUUUAAAGUGCCUGACUCAAGUUUGACUAGGCAUCCUGUUUUAUCUAGCAUGCCUAGGGAGAUAAGAUUUCUUUUGAGAUCAGGCACAUGUCUGACAUCCCUUAGUUUCCUAAUCAUGCCAUCGAACACUCUUAACCUAAUAGAACCUCUGCCAACCACUCUGCAGCUUGAAUCAUUACCCAUUACAACUAUCCCACCAUCACAAGUCUCAUAGUUUGUGAAUAAAAUUUUAUUAGGGCACAUGUGGAAGGAACAACCAGAAUCUAAAACCCAAUUACCUUUUGUUUGAGCAUCAGUUGCUAUUAGAACUCCAGCUGAGUCAUAGCCAUCAGAUUCUUCAAAUUCUGAUGCAACAGCAGCAUCUAUAUUCUUCUCAUUUGCAUUAUUUUUCUUGUUUUUAAAUUCAGGGCAAUCUUUCUUGAAAUGGCCCUCCUUAUGACAGUGAAAGCAUUUCAAGUUCUUUUGCCUGGAUUUUGAUCUCUUCUUCUUGUUCUUACUUAUCUCUCUCUUUUCAGUUCUUCCUCUUGCUGUCAGACCUUCUCCAUCCCUGGUUUCUUUCUUGAUUGCUGCCUUGGAACUCAGAGUUUCCUUUACAUCUCCCAUAGCGAGAGUCUGUCUCCCAUACAUUAAUGUAUCCACUAGAUUCUCAUAGGAACUCGGCAGAGAGCAGAGCAGGAUCAUGGCUUUGUCUUCAUCAUCAAUCUUCACAUUUAUGUCUUCAAGAUCCAAGAUGAUCUUGUUGAAGGCAUCAAUGUGAUCAGUAAUUGAUGAUCCUUCUUCCAUCUGCAAGGUAUAAAGNNNNNNNNNNNNNNNNNNNNNNNNNNNNNNNNNNNNNNNNNNNNNNNNNNNNNNNNNNNNNNNNNNNNNNNNNNNNNNNNNNNNNNNNNNNNNNNNNNNNNNNNNNNNNNNNNNNNNNNNNNNNNNNNNNNNNNNNNNNNNNNNNNNNNNNNNNNNNNNNNNNNNNNNNNNNNNNNNNNNNNNNNNNNNNNNNNNNNNNNNNNNNNNNNNNNNNNNNNNNNNNNNNNNNNNNNNNNNNNNNNNNNNNNNNNNNNNNNNNNNNNNNNNNNNNNNNNNNNNNNNNNNNNNNNNNNNNNAAAAAGCCAAAUCAAAGAAAAUUUAAUCCUGCUGUACCGUACAUCCGCCUUGGCCGUACAGCAGAAUUUGUUGUAACCAAAUUAAUCACCAAGACCAACUUGGAACCCCCAAGACCCACUCUAUGAACCUUGAUCUUGUACUGGAAAUAAUCAAUCAACUAAGAUUUCCCAAGAAAUAUGAAUAAGUACUUGAAACCAUCCACACAAUCAAAGAAAAUCAGAUCACACACUUGAACCAAAGAUUAUAGUGGUUCGGCAAAUUUCUUUGCCUACAUCCACUGUGGAAAACAAAGCAAACUCUUUACUGAUUUCAGAGAACAAGUUACAAAUCUGGAGAAUACAUGUAAAUGAAUCGAUACCCUAAACAACAGAUCAUAUGCCCUUUUAUACUCCACUCGGAUCAAUCAGAAAGAACCUGAAGAAGCCAGUUCACGCUCAUAAGACACAUGUAAUGAACGGCAGCAAACAGCAAAAUACAGAAACAACAAAAAGUAUAUGCACGUAAUGGUUGGAAACAACUUGGUGGAGGCAUGCAAGUAUUUGUUAUACUAAGACAGAGAGGAAAAAUCUGAUGCAGCAUCCAGAAUUUUUGCAAAUAGUGAAUUGAAAUCGUCAACAAAUGGUGGAAAAAGAACAGUAAAUUUUUAUUUUAUUAUUAACAACACAUAAUUUAUCCUUAAUUUAAAUAAAAGGAUAAAUUAUUAAUUGUACAUAAUAUCCUAAUAUUUGGAAAAAAAUUGUUAACAAUUCAUAAUUUGAAGAAGUAUGCAUAUUAUACCAUAAGAAAAAAAUGUUGGAGUUUGGACGAUGAUAUCUAAAAAAAUGAAGGUUGAAUUUUGGAGGAGGUGACGAAGAGAUGGAACAACAUUAUUUAUUGUUUAUUUAGUCAUGGAAUAACAACAUUGCUUGACAUAGAUGAUGUCGUAGUGUAAUAAAAGGGACGACAUGUCAAUAUUUAUCGGACGACAUGACAUUAUUGACCAGGUAAAUGGGAUGACAAGUAUAUUUUUUUAUUAAAGCUUCUUCUAUCUUAGAAGAGUAGAUUAUUGUAAUGAUGUCAACACUUGGAAACGCCAGCUAACCGAUUAGUGGAUAGCAGACACAUAUUGUAAACUUAGGGUAUACAAGUGAUACAUGCAAAAAAUAAUGUAGUGUACGUGAUAUAAGUGUCAUUUAAGGGUAGAUGAGUGAAACAUUUUGAUUGUGAUAUAAGUUGCAAAAAGUUAACACAGUAAGUGCGAAAUAAAAAGAAAAAAAAUUAAGUAAUUUCAAAACGUCCCCAUGUCUUCAAAAACUGUCUUAUUUUGAAUGUUAAUUUAUUUAUUAAAAAAAUAAGAGUCUUUUAGGCACAUAAAUUAUAAUAAAUUAUUGAACAAAGAAUAAUGAAAAAAAAAGUAAAAUGUAAUUAUAAUGCAGUGUUAGGGGUUGGUUAAUGAAGUUAAAGAUGGUGGAAAAGGGUUAUAUAGAAGUAAAAUGUAAUUAUAAUGCAGUGUUUGGUAUGAAUAAGUAAAUGAAUAAUAAUGCAAAUUGGGUAUACGAACUUAUAAUGUGAUAAUAAUGGUAUGUCCGUAAAAAGACCCGUAGGGCAAGAUUAAAGGCUAAAUUGUGCAGUUAUGUUAAUAAUUUUAUUUUGUAAUAAAAUAGGAGGGGCUGCAAUGUUAGUAGGCAAAAAUCAAGUACAAGUUGCGGUUGUAAUAGGUUUUGUAAGUCUUGUGUUGAAUCUAAUGGUUGGAUAAAAAAGAGAAAAUAAUGGCGUAUGAAAUCAGAAUUGCAUGGUAAGUAUACCUCGGUUGUAGUUGGAAAACAUUUCCAUCGGAAGAGAAAAAUUGAAAAUGAGUUAUGCUGUAAAAUGUUAAUGUGCUGAAGAGUGUGCACAUGUGUAAAGCCCAAGAAUCGGUGUUUUGUUGAGGGUCCAACCUUUCCCCUGGGCAAUGCAACAACGUUGGAAUGUGUUGAAAAUUGUGGUCUUUUAACGAAAAAUGUAAUAAAAAUUUGUUCUUAUUUUUUGUUAGAGCCAGGGCGGGUUUGUUGAAAGAUGAGUUUUGACUUGAUUCGCCAGUAAAAUGAAAAAAUAUAUUUAAAAUUUGGCUUCUAUUUUUUAAAAAAUUAAAAAAAAAGUCGUCAUAUCCGCAGUAAAAUAUACUCCACCCGGCAAUAUAUUGAAAUUUAAAUUCUCACCCCAAGAAUUUUAAAUACAAAUUGAAAGAGUUGGGCUGUUGAAAGUAAAAAGAAGCACGUAAAAAAAAAUAUGAAUUAAAAUAUUGAAAUAAGACAUAAGUUCAUUAAUUUGUACAUUAAGCAAACAUAUACCAAUUCCAAACGGCAGUCGAACGUUAUUAUUAUUAUUUCUUGCUGGUGGCGUUAAUAAUAAUAAUAAUAACAAUCAGGGUAUCAAGAGGGUUAAUGGAGACCAGAUCAAGAAAAAGAGGAGGCAACAAGAGAAGGCUGAGAUGCUCUUCCACCUAAUUUGCUGGGGACCCAAUUAAUUAAUUAUUUUUAUUUCUUCUUUUUCUUCAUUAUUUAAAAAAUUAAAAAAUUAAAAAAAAGUCUUAUGGGAGAGAAAGAAAUGUAUUGGUUUAUCUUUAUUCUAGGAAUCUUGGUGCUUAAUGGAAAUAAAUCAUAUGCUUUCAAUUUAUUGGCUUUCAAUUUCAAAUAAUUUUUAUUUGAACAUAAAAAUUAGCUCAGAUAUUUAGGCAUAAACAUCCUUCCAGAAUUUUCUAUCAGAAAUAAUUUAGAAUUUCAACUCAAUUUAGAUAUAUUAAAAUGUUGAUGUAUAAUACAUAAUUUGAUGGGUAUUUUAGUAAUUUGAAUAAAUUUAUCAUAGAAGAUUAAGAAAAUAAAAUAAAAUAAACCUUAGCAAUGAGUAAGGUAAAAAGUUUUGGUUUUGAGUAUGUAAUUGUAAACAGUAGAUUUACCACACGUAAAUGUGUAAUUGUGAAUCACAUGUUCAUGUUUCAGUGAACCCUAAAGAGUAACCGAUGAGAACACUGAUAUUUAGCCCGGAAUUUCAUCUAUUAAAAUUUUUUAAAUCAAUAUUUUUGUUAAAAUUAAACAAUCAUUGUCCGGAUGGGGGAUGGUCAUCUUUCAGCCAUUGUUUAAACAAAAGAAAUUCGGUAAAUCGAAUUUCUGCCAAAUAUAAUUUUUCUAUUUAUACUAAUGUUUAAUUAGAUAUAGCUGCAUAUUAUUUCUUAUUCAAUAAUUGCUCAAUAUUAAAAAAAAAUCCCAUUUUCAUCGAGUAAUCAGACAUCUAUGUCUCUUAGAUAUGCUUAUCAAGCAUUUGAUCAACCAAUUUAUAUGAGGAGACCUAGCAAUAUAAUGCAAAUUUGUUGGCACGAGAAGAUUAAAAUCUAGAUAACAUAUGGUAAAUACAGUAUGUUGGUUCCAAUAUGCUAUUUGUGGUAAUCGUCUUUUCAAUGCUCAGUGCUAUUUUUUAGGGAGAUAUUUUUAUUGGCUGCACAUUAAUAGAAACAAGAAUAUAUAAUCAAUUGGAUUACCUUGUAAUUGAAGGCAAAUAACAAACAAAAGUAAUUCCAAUAAAUCAAAGCAUUAAGUUGUCAAUGAAGACUAAAACAUAAACAAUGUUACUCCAAUGAAGACUAAAACUUGCUGGUGAAAAUUUGAAGUAAUUGAAUUGAAAACUAAUUAAAUACCAAACCCAACGAUUACGAACAUUGUUCAACUCACAUAAGUGGAUUAAAAGCAUGGAAGGGAUUACUCUUUAAAGAACGGCUCGAUGCUUCCAUCUUCCGUGUUAUAUAUUCCAGUAUCUCUAACUCCUGCUUCAACAGAUUCCUCCUUGGUCAGGCACGAAUAGGAGUCAACAAAAUCAUCAGCGAAAUAUAUGCAGUUGGGUUUACACUGAUAAUUCCUCGAUGCAUCAACAGAUAGUGAAGAAUAAAAGCCAAGAAGAGGGAUCUAUAACUCAAGUUCUUGAUAUUCGUCCAUUUAUUAGUACUUAGAUCGACCUCAAAAACCUGAAAUCCCGAAGUUUUGAAAGUGUUCUCUUCAGUUGGGUAGCCCAGAUGAGUAGGUGGUACUUGUACUACCCUCCGUGAAACCACAGAUAAUGUACCAUCAUCAGAUUCAACCACAUACAAGUACUCCACAGCAUCUUCAAUAAAUUCGGUAGGUAAUUUCGUGACUCGUAUAACAGUUCCAUCAUUAUCUUUGAUGGCAAAUAUCCGACCAAAAGUAUUAAUAUCAUAAAAUUGAUUUUGGAUAUAAAUAACAUCAAGAGUGGCCGCACUUUACAACUCCCAAACCAUUCCAUUUACUUGGUAUUUAAGUGCCAGAUAAUAGUUGGAUAUAACAGAUUUGCUGAUCCUUAGAAAGGGCCUUUUGAGUAUUAUCUGGUAUCGGAUGUCCUUAUCUACUACAACAAAGUCCAACAUCAUGGUUCUUCCAAAGGCCUUCAAACUAAUGGUAAGUAGCUCCACUACUCCCAUCGGCAUCAAUCUUCUUCCUCCAAACCCUUUUAAUGAGGUAUUGCUGGGCUCCAUUUUCAGGUCUGCUAUUCCCAUUUCAUCCAAAGUGACUUUGAAAAGAAUCUUGACUGAACUACCCAAAUCAAUCAGGUUCUGGUAUAUUCCUUGCUCGCAACAUUAGCUUUUAUAACCAGUCCGGUCUUCAUGGGGGUGCACCACCUCCUCCUAGCCAUCUUCUAUCCACAUAAUUGGAACUUGCUUGGACUUUACCUGUUUUGCUAGUGGUACAUUGAAGAGAACAUAAUGGCUGGUCGUGACAUACUUUCAAUAAUUCUUGCGAGCCCUGUUUAAGUCCCCCUCUAAUGUUGGACCAUCCUGCAAUGACUCUGGUCAUUGGUCCUCCAGAAUGGUGCCUCCUACAUUCUCCUCGGGCACGUAUGCCUCAUCUAUCAUAGGAAACGAACCGUCAACAUCCAGAUAACUGUUUCUUUGUUAACCAUUUAGAACUCCAAAAUUCUCACCUUUUGAUCCCUUAAACUACAGUAUCCGAUCUAGACCACCAUAAACUACCAGCUAGUAGUUUUCACAAACUUAAUAUCUUCAAAAUAUCCAACCUCGGUAAACAACCAACAAUCAUGCUUCAAUAUAAAUGCUAAUCUCAGCCAAAUUCAGCCCAGUCAUAAUAAAAAGAAUUCAAAUACAAUAGUCCCAUUAGUUACACAACCAAACCCAUGAUUCGAUGAAGCAUAUCCUCGGAUUUUAAGCUAAUUCUCAGCAAAAUUCUCCGCAAAUUCACCCCUAAGCAAUAAUUCCUGAACAUAGCUACACGCACUUAACUAAAACCAUGAAGCAUCCUCAAGAACAAAAGCAUUAAUCAAUUUAACUCAAACCUAUCAUUCUCACUGUAACCAAACAUCAAUGCUACAAAUCAUCAUCAGCUGUCCAAAGCAAAAAUAAACGAAAAUCAGGAACCAUUCUAACAAAAAAAUUGGUAUUUAACCCAAAUAACUAAAAUCUUACUAAGUUAAUUGGAAUAUUGAAUGCAAAAGCAGUAAAUAAUAGUUGAAACAAAUGAACUAAAAGGGGAGAAAGCAAAGCUAAAUUUUGGAACUUAUCUAAUGAGAAAUGAAUUUACUUGGAAUUUUACCUAAAAUAUUAAUAUUCAACGAACUUAGUAGGAAUAUCUAAUAUAGAACUAGUGGAUUUAGAAGUGGAAACAAAUAAACAUAUUAGUGACAAGUAUAACUGAAAUUAAGGACAUAUAAAAUUAACUUAGAACGUCAACCUAAUGUGUUAAUAUUUAGAGUGAUGAUACAGUCACAAACUUUUAUACAAACUUAUAUUGUACAAACUAAUGUGGUAUUAAUUCAUUGGUUGAAUAAAAAUAUAAAAUAAUAUAAAUAAAUCAUGUAAACCAAGAGAUAUUUAAUUCAACCAAUGAAUUAACGCCACAUCAGUUUGUACAAAAUAAGUUUAUACAAGAGUUUGUGGCUAUAUCAUUACUCUAAUAUUUAACCAAAAGAGUUGGAACAUGAUUACGUAUAUUACUUUUUUUAACUCUCAUUUAAAUUAAAAAUAUUUUUAUAUUAAUUGUUUAUAAAUUUCCUCAUUUUUUUAUUUUAUUUUAUUUUUUUACAUUAAAAAUAAUUUUUAAAAUUAUUAAAUGAACAACCAGUAAAAUAUCAAUUAUUCAAGUUGUAAAAGUAGGCUAUAUGUGAUACAACAAUGCACUCUACAAUGACUUAUAUAGUCAUUACUACACUUGGUGUCACCAGCCAUUUGCCAUUUGUCAUUUGUCACUGGUCACCAUCACCCUUUGAGUUAUUUUUUGGAGAAAAAAAAAAGCGUCCCUCCAUAAACCUACAAUCUAAAUUAGUAAUGAUUUCACUUUCCCAAAAAACAAAUACAACCUCAUUUUUUUUUUUAAAUUAGAAAAAUUAUCUUUGUAUCACUUCUCUUUAAUUAUAUGUAUAUCCAACCACUACAAAAGUUUGAUAUAUUCUCUGCACCACUUUCAUAUUUAAACUUGUAUCAAUCAAUUAAUUCGACACUAGUAAAGUUAGAAUCCCUUAAAUAAUUUAAAUAAAAUGAUUUCUUUACAUGUAAAUAAAUUUAAAGUCUAUUUUAUCCUACAAAAUUUGGAAAAAUAAAAAAUAUAAUUAGAAGAAUACCCUAAAUAUAAUAAAACAAAUAAAUCUUUAAAUCCAAGAUGUUCAUUUUCGUAAUUAUAAUUUUUAAAUGAUAAUUUUCAGUAUAAUUUAAAAAUUAUAGUUACAAAAUUAACAUCUUGGAUUUUGAGAUUUAUUUGUUUUAUUAAAUUUAAGGAUAUUCUUGUAAUUAUAUUUUUUAUUUUUCAAAAUUUUUUAGGAUAAAAUAAUUUUUUUUAUUCAUUUCGGAGCAAACGGUCAUCUUAUUUAAAGUAUUUAAUGGAUUCUAAAUUUGUUAAUGUAAAAGUGAUUGAUUGAUAUAAGUUUAGAAAUAAAGGUGGUGUAAAAAAAUAUGUCAAAACUUUAUAAUGGUUAAAUGUACAUGUAAUAAAAGAAAAGAUGCUGAGAUAAUUUUCCAAAAAAUUAAUUCGACCUUUUUAACAGCUCUCUAUUAUUUCUCUAUAUAAGUACCCAAACCCAACGAACAAAGCGUCACUUAAAGUCUCAAGAGCUCAACAAUCUCUCUGCUCUAUAAGUUGCUGAUCAAUUUUCUUCCAGAACCCAACUUAAUAUAUAUAUUUUUUGGCAUCAUUAAAAAAGAGUACUUGGGGUGAGGAGAGUGCAGUAAGAGACAUGAGCAGCAACGGUGGCAGAGUUUGCAAGUUUGAUUUAGCAUUCAACAAGCUUAUGCUGCGACAAUAUUGUGGCUGCAAUAAGGGCAACAAUAAUUCUAUUGUAAGGAGUCUUGGCGGUGGCGAUAAUAAUAAUAAUAAUAACAAUGAGGCUAUCAAGGGGGUUAAUGGAGACGAGAUCAUGAAGAAAAAGAGGAGGCAAGAAGAAAAGGCUGAGACUGUCUUCCACCUAAUUUGCUGGGGACCCAAGUAAUUAAUUAUUUUUAUUUCUUCUUUUCUUCGUUAUUUAGAAAAAAAAAUCAUAUGGGAGACAAAGAGAUGUAUUGAUUUAUUUUUAUUUUAGGAAUUUUGGUGCUUAUGGAAAUAAAUCAUAUACUUUCAAUUUAUUUGCUUUCAAUUUCAAAUGAGCUC